Paramormyrops kingsleyae is the source of this 519-nucleotide non-coding RNA. The record is from RefSeq and is a predicted model, not a curated record. NCBI's taxonomy places the organism in Eukaryota, Metazoa, Chordata, Actinopteri, Osteoglossiformes, Mormyridae.
UGGCAUACGGUGUGGACCACUCACGCAUUUCUAAGGCAAUUUCACCAAUGUUGCACAUUAUGGUUUCAGUUCAUGCACGUGGUUUCCGCAGAUAUAUUAUAAAUUGACAUAAAUAUUAUGUAUCUGAAUAUUAUUAUUUGCAAGCUGCAACGCCGCGACCUGCAGGUCCACGGCCCCAGUAGGAGGGACCGAUCGCCGUAGCCGCACUUCCUUAUUUAACUGCGGGAUUGACAAGUACUGACAUCAGCGGAAGAGAGCACCCUUUAGUCUCCGCCGGCUACCUUUCCCGGCCCUCCUGUUAACUUUUACGGCGCAGGCCAGCGGACCACCGCCGUCCCUUCGGAAAGCGCGAGGACCGGCGCGCGGCUGCCCCGGGGGCGAACGUGAGCGCGACACCCCGCGACACGGACGUGGAGCGGCACGAAGUGUCCUUAGAAGGUCCCUACCUCCUCCACCGCGAAACCAUGAAGUGACGAAAAGCGUCGGCAGCCCCGGGAUAUCUCUGCACACGGUCUAAGA